CCAGCUCCAACUGAAUAUCAAAUUUGAGUUUGAAAAUGUUAGCAGAAAUCUUUUCUUAUAAGAAUUUAUCACUUUUAUUUUCUCUUUUGCUCCUCCAACUUCUAGCUGGACCUGUGAAGAACUGUCAAAACAACUGUAGAGGAAUUGUGUUGGAGGCAAUAAUGGCUCCUUUAGUAUCAGAGAAUAGAAAGAUCUCGAAAACAAAGCCUGUUGUCAGGAGACUUGCACCUAUCCUGGCCUACUUCCAAGUAGAAACAAAAACAGAAACGAAGAUAUCCAUGGCACCUAAUGUUAUAAGAAGAAGAAAGCACUUGUAAUCACAGGGGUACUGAGAAAAGGUAACAGACAAAUUUAUAUUUGUGGAACCAGGAAUCUUUCUGAUGACUUUUGGAAAGGGUGGACAUACAAAUAAAAAUCAACGUUUUUCUUGGUAAGGAUUUGAC
Molecule: long non-coding RNA, 443 nt
Organism: Piliocolobus tephrosceles (Ugandan red Colobus)
Lineage: Eukaryota; Metazoa; Chordata; Mammalia; Primates; Cercopithecidae
Source: Ensembl